GAAGCGAGCCAGGCCGCCGCUGGCGCUGUUUUCGGACGGUGCUGGAGGAAGGUCCGGACUGCACAGGGCGGCGCAGCAGCUAACGGCUGUCCACCGCGAGGUGAGGAUCAGAGCAACAGAGACGAGUCGGCGUGUGCCCGCAAGGGUGCAAGCCGGGUGAAACGGGCAAUCUCUGCGCGCAGCAAUACAAAAUAGGCCGGCGCAAGCAGGCGCUUCGGCGCUUGCCGGGAGUGUGGCUCCGCACGAGCCGGCGGGUAGGUAGCACCGAGCCGGGCAGCAAUGCCCGGCCCAGAGGAAUGGCGGCCACGGCGGCUCGUCGCAAGACGCAGCCGCUGCACAGAAUCCGGCCUAUCGGCUCGCUUCAUCU
This 367-nucleotide RNase P RNA is filed under the name Pseudomonadota bacterium. RNAcentral's name for it is "RNase P RNA component class A". It matches the Rfam family "Bacterial RNase P class A". Rfam says of the family: Ribonuclease P (RNase P) is a ubiquitous endoribonuclease, found in archaea, bacteria and eukarya as well as chloroplasts and mitochondria. Its best characterised activity is the generation of mature 5'-ends of tRNAs by cleaving the 5'-leader elements of precursor-tRNAs. The record is from RNAcentral. Lineage: Bacteria; Pseudomonadati; Pseudomonadota.